This 5577-nucleotide ribosomal RNA is filed under the name Triticum aestivum (bread wheat). RNAcentral's name for it is "partial small subunit ribosomal RNA". The record is from RNAcentral. Lineage: Eukaryota; Viridiplantae; Streptophyta; Magnoliopsida; Poales; Poaceae.
AUGGACGCGCGGUUCCCGCACUCGCCGGCCGAGGUGGCCAAGGUCAAGCUCGUCCAGUUCGGCGUGCUCAGCCCCGAUGAGAUCAGACAAAUGUCGGUGGUCAUGAUAGAGCAUGCGGAGACUACGGAGAGGGGCAAGGUGAAGUCCGGGGGUCUGAGCGACCCCCGUUUGGGCACCAUUGACCGGAAACUCAAGUGCGACACAUGUAUGGCUGGGAUGGCCGAGUGCCCGGGCCACUUUGGCCACCUCGAGCUUGCGAAGCCCAUGUUCCAUAUCGGCUUCAUCAAGACCGUGCUCUCUGUAAUGCGCUGCGUGUGCUUCAAUUGCUCCAAGAUCCUCGCGGACGAGGAAGAUACCAAGUUCCAGCAGGCUCUGAAAAUCAAGAACCCCAAAAAUAGAUUAAGAAGAAUUUAUGAUGCUUGCAAGAGCAAAAAGGUUUGCUCUGGGGGUGAAGACCUUGAGGGUCAGGAUCAGCAGGACACUGAAGAGCCAGUGAAGAAAAAAGGUGGUUGUGGGGCUCAGCAGCCAAAUAUCACAGUUGAUGGUAUGAAGAUGGUUGCAGAGUUUAAAACAACAAAGAAGAAAAAUGAUGAGCAAGAUCAACUCCCGGAACCAGUGGAGCGAAAGCAAAUUCUCUCCGCCGAGAGGGUCCUUAAUGUUCUCAAGCGUAUAAGUGACGAGGACUGUCUUUUAUUGGGCCUGAACCCUGAAUUUGCUCGUCCUGAUUGGAUGAUACUGCAAGUCCUCCCAAUUCCUCCGCCCCCUGUGAGACCAUCUGUCAUGAUGGAUACUUCCUCCAGAAGCGAGGAUGAUUUGACUCAUCAAUUAGCGAUGAUAAUUCGACAUAAUGAGAAUUUGAGGAGGCAAGAGAGAAAUGGAGCCCCAGCUCACAUUAUAACAGAGUUUGCUCAGCUGUUGCAGUUUCACAUUGCAACAUACUUCGAUAAUGAUCUUCCUGGACAACCAAGGGCCACUCAGCGUUCUGGAAGGCCUAUUAAGUCGAUUUGCAGCAGGCUGAAAGCAAAAGAAGGCCGGAUUAGAGGAAAUUUAAUGGGGAAGCGUGUUGAUUUCUCAGCUCGUACCGUCAUCACACCAGAUCCGAAUAUCAACAUUGAUCAAUUGGGGGUGCCAUGGAGUAUUGCUUUGAAUCUGACAUACCCAGAAACUGUCACUCCAUACAACAUUGAGAGGUUGAAAGAACUAGUAGAAUAUGGGCCUCACCCUCCCCCAGGCAAGACAGGAGCGAAGUACAUUAUUAGGGAAGAUGGCCAGAGGCUGGAUCUUCGCUAUGUGAAGAAAAGUAGCGAUCAGCAUUUGGAGCUUGGUUACAAGGUGGAAAGGCACCUCAAUGAUGGAGAUUUUGUUCUUUUCAACCGACAACCCAGUCUCCACAAAAUGUCUAUCAUGGGCCAUCGCAUUAAAAUUAUGCCCUACUCGACUUUUCGCCUGAACUUGUCUGUCACUUCACCGUACAAUGCUGAUUUUGAUGGGGAUGAAAUGAAUAUGCAUGUUCCUCAGUCAUUUGAGACCAGAGCUGAAGUUUUAGAGUUGAUGAUGGUGCCGAAAUGUAUUGUGUCACCUCAAGCAAAUAGACCUGUCAUGGGUAUUGUCCAGGACACACUUCUUGGGUGUCGAAAAAUGACCAAAAGGGAUACUCUCAUCGAAAAGGAUGUAUUUAUGAACAUCUUAAUGUGGUGGGAAGAUUUUGAUGGGAAGGUCCCAGCCCCUACCAUUUUGAAACCAAGGCCGAUUUGGACUGGCAAACAAGUUUUCAACUUGAUCAUCCCCAAGUUAAUUAAUUUAAUUAGAUUUUCAGCCUGGCACGCUGAAACAGAAAAUGGAUUUACAACUCCUGGUGAUACUGUGGUCCGGAUAGAGAAGGGAGAGCUUCUAUCUGGUACACUUUGCAAAAAAACACUUGGGGCAUCAAGUGGAAGUCUUAUUCAUGUUAUUUGGGAAGAGGUAGGUCCAGAUGCGGCACGGAAGUUCUUGGGUCAUACACAGUGGCUGGUCAACUAUUGGCUUCUGCAAAAUGGUUUCAGUAUUGGGAUCGGGGAUACAAUUGCAGAUGCAGAUACUAUGGAAAAAAUUAAUGAGACAAUCGCAAACGCCAAGAUUGAAGUGAAUGGGCUUAUUAAGCAAGCGCAAGAGAAGGAGCUGGAACCUGAGCCAGGACGCACGAUGAUGGAAUCGUUUGAAAAUAGAGUAAAUCAGGUCCUUAACAAGGCUCGUGAUGAAUCUGGCAGUAGUGCCCAGAAGAGUUUGUCCGAGAGCAACAAUUUGAAAGCUAUGGUCACUGCAGGCUCAAAAGGCAGUUUCAUUAAUAUUUCACAAAUGACUGCUUGUGUCGGACAGCAGAACGUUGAGGGCAAGCGGAUUCCAUUUGGUUUUGUUGAUCGUACCUUGCCCCACUUCACGAAAGAUGACUACGGCCCCGAAAGCCGUGGAUUUGUGGAGAACUCUUACCUUCGAGGCCUGACACCACAGGAAUUUUUCUUCCAUGCUAUGGGUGGUAGAGAAGGUUUGAUUGAUACUGCUGUGAAAACUUCUGAGACAGGAUAUAUUCAGCGGAGGCUCGUGAAGGCUAUGGAGGACAUCAUGGUGAAAUAUGAUGGUACCGUGAGAAACUCCCUUGGCGAUGUCAUUCAAUUCUUGUAUGGAGAAGACGGCAUGGAUGCUGUUUGGAUUGAAUCCCAGAAACUGGACUCCCUGAAGAUGAAAAAGGAUGAGUUUGAUAAUGUGUUCCGUUAUGAACUGAAUGAUAUGAACUGGAAGCCUAAUUACAUGCUGCCUGACCAUGUUGAGGAUUUGAAGACUAUUCGUGAAUUCAGAAAUGUGUUUGAGGCAGAGCUUCAGAAAUUGGAAGUUGACAGAUUACAACUUGGGCAAGAAAUUACCACAACUGGCGAGGGUACAUGGCCUAUGCCUGUCAACCUCAAGCGGCUUAUCUGGAAUGCUCAGAAGACUUUCAAGAUUGAUCUAAGAAAACCUUCUGACAUGCACCCAAUGGAAAUCGUGGAAGCAAUUGAUAAGCUGCAAGAAAGGCUCAAGGUUGUCCCUGGCGACGACGCCAUGAGCAUUGAGGCUCAGAAGAACGCUACUCUGCUCUUCAAUAUCCUGCUUCGCAGCACAUUUGCUAGCAAGAGGGUCUUGAAAGAAUACAGGCUUACAAAGGAAUCUUUCGAAUGGGUCAUUGGUGAGAUUGAAUCGAGAUUCCUGCAGUCUUUGGUGGCUCCUGGUGAAAUGAUUGGAUGUGUGGCUGCACAGUCCAUUGGAGAACCAGCAACUCAGAUGACGCUGAAUACUUUCCAUUAUGCUGGUGUUAGUGCUAAGAAUGUUACCCUUGGUGUUCCCAGAUUAAGAGAGAUUAUCAACGUCGCCAAGAAGAUAAAGACUCCAUCUCUGUCUGUCUUCCUAAAGCCUGGGGUGAACAGCAGGAAAGAAUCGGCCAAGAAUGUCCAGUGUGCCCUGGAGUACACCACGCUGCGUAGUGUGACCCAUGCCACUGAGAUAUGGUAUGAUCCUGAUCCUCUAGGAACCCUCAUUCCCGAGGAUGUGGACUUUGUCAGGUCAUACUAUGAGAUGCCCGAUGAGGAUGUCGACCCGGAUAAGAUGUCUCCUUGGCUGCUGCGUAUUGAACUGAACCGCGAGAUGAUGGUUGAUAAGAAGUUGAGCAUGGCUGAUAUUGCAGAGAAGAUCAAUCAUGAGUUUGAUGACGACUUGUCAUGCAUAUUCAACGAUGACAACGCGGAUAAGCUCAUCCUUCGUGUCCGUAUCGCAAACGACGAAGCUCCUCCAAAAGGAGGAGAGGCACAGGGUGAAUCUGCCGAGGACGAUGUCUUCCUCAAGAAGAUUGAGGGGAACAUGUUGACUGAGAUGGCCCUUCGAGGCAUUCCAGAUAUUAACAAGGUCUUCAUCAAAAAGGGGAAGGUGAAUAAAUUUGAUGAGAAGGAAGGUUUCAAAGGAGAAGAGGAGUGGAUGCUUGAUACAGAAGGUGUAAACCUCUUGGCCGUCAUGUGUCAUGAGGACGUUGAUCCUUCUAGGACAACAAGUAAUCAUUUGAUUGAAGUGAUUGAGGUUCUUGGCAUCGAGGCUGUCCGUAGGUCCCUCUUGGAUGAGCUGAGGGUGGUGAUAUCUUUUGAUGGGUCUUAUGUCAACUACCGGCAUCUGGCCAUUCUCUGCGAUAUGAUGACGUACAGAGGUCACCUGAUGGCGAUUACUAGGCACGGCAUAAAUCGUAACGACACAGGGCCUCUCAUGAGAUGUUCUUUUGAAGAGACGGUGGAUAUCCUGCUUGAUGCUGCUGUAUAUGCUGAAUCUGAUUACCUGAGAGGUGUCACAGAGAACAUUAUGCUUGGCCAGCUUGCACCUAUUGGUACAGGAGGGUGUGGAUUGUAUCUGAAUGACCAGAUGCUGAAGCAGGCCAUUGAGCUCCAACUCCCGAGCUAUAUUGACACUCUGGACUAUGGUGUCACACCGGCGCGUUCACCCUCUGGGACACCGUACCAUGAUGGAAUGAUGUCUCCAUUGCUGAGCCCGAAUUUCCGGGUUUCCCCCCUCACAGAUGCUCAGUUCUCGCCGUAUGUUGGCGGCAUGGCGUUCUCGCCCAUGCCGUCGAAUUACAGCCCGUCCUCGGGGGGUUACAGUCCAUCUUCUCCGGUGUUCAGCCCAGGGCCAGGACACAGCUACAGCCCCACUUCUCCGUCAUACAGCCCCGCAUCACCCAGCUACAGCCCUGCAUCGCCAUCAUAUACUCCUGGCUCUCCUUCCUACAGUCCGAGCAGUCCAUCAUACUCUCCAACCAGUCCAUCAUACUCUCCCACAUCUCCGAGCUACAGCCCCACAUCUCCUAGCUACAGUCCAACCUCUCCGGCAUACUGUCCCACUUCGCCAAGCUACAGUCCAACCUCUCCGGCAUACUGCCCGACAUCUCCUGCAUACAGCCCGACCUCUCCAGCAUACUGCCCGACGUCUCCGGCAUACAGCCCGUUGUCGCCAUCUUAUAACCCAACGUCGCCAUCUUAUAGUCCGACAUCUCCUUCAUACAGCCCGACUUCACCAUCUUAUAGCCCAACAUCGCCAUCAUACAGCCCCACAUCUCCUUCAUACAGCCCUUCAUCACCAACUUAUAGCCCGACGUCGCCCUCAUACAGACCGACAUCGCCCUCGUACAGCCCGACAUCACCUGCAUACAGUCCGUCAUCGCCUGGUUACUGCCCGACGUCACCGAGCUACAGCCCUACUUCACUGAGCUACAGCCCUUCGUCGGCCAAGUACAGUCCUUCAAAUAUCUAUUCUCCAAGCAGCCCAAGGAUGAUGAGCCCGUACAGUCAGACUUCUCCAAACUACAGCCCGACCUCACCGUCUUACUCGCCCACCUCACCGUCGUAUGCGCAACCAAGCCCGUCAUACAGCCCGGCAAGCCCGAUCACUACCUCUGGAGGACCUAGCCCAGAUUACACCCCAACUUCUCCAAACUACAGCCCCACUGCAAGCUACUCCCCCACCGCACCGGGCUACUCGCCGAUAUCCACCGAGCCGCAAACUAGUGACAAGGACGAGGAGACUGCUCCCUGA